RNAcentral lists this ribosomal RNA (394 nucleotides) under uncultured bacterium. RNAcentral describes it as "partial 16S ribosomal RNA". It matches the Rfam family "Bacterial small subunit ribosomal RNA", at positions 338 to 729 of the family's 1533-position model. The record is from RNAcentral.
CCUACGGGUGGCAGCAGUGAGGAAUAUUGGUCAAUGGACGGAAGUCUGAACCAGCCAUGCCGCGUGCAGGAAGACGGCUCUAUGAGUUGUAAACUGCUUUUGUACAAGGGUAAACCUGAAUACGUGUAUUCAGCUGACAGUACUGUACGAAGAAGGAUCGGCUAACUCCGUGCCAGCAGCCGCGGUAAUACGGAGGUGCCAAGCGUUAUCCGGAUUUAUUGGGUUUAAAGGGUGCGUAGGCGGAUUGAUAAGUUAGAGGUGAAAUGUCCGGGCUUAACUCGGGAACUGCCUCUAAUACUGUUGAUCUAGAGUGCAGGUGCGGUAAGCGGAAUGCAUGGUGUAGCGGUGAAAUGCUUAGAGAUCAUGAAGAACACCGAUUGCGAAGGCAGCUUAC